CCUACGGGAGGCAGCAGUGGGGAAUCUUGGACAAUGGGGGAAACCCUGAUCCAGCAAUGCCGCGUGUGGGAUGAAGGCCCUCGGGUUGUAAACCACUUUUGGCAGGAAAGAAAUCGCCUGUGCUAAUACCAUGGGCGGAUGACGGUACCUGCAGAAUAAGCACCGGCUAACUACGUGCCAGCAGCCGCGGUAAUACGUAGGGUGCGAGCGUUAAUCGGAAUUACUGGGCGUAAAGCGUGCGCAGGCGGUUUUGUAAGACAGAUGUGAAAUCCCCGGGCUUAACCUGGGAACUGCAUUUGUGACUGCAAGACUAGAGUGUGUCAGAGGGAGGUGGAAUUCCGCGUGUAGCAGUGAAAUGCGUAGAGAUGCGGAAGAACACCGAUGGCGAAGGCAGCCUCCUGGGAUAACACUGACGCUCAGGCACGAAAGCGUGGGGAGCAAACAGGAUUAGAUACCCUGGUAGUCCACGCCCUAAACGAUGUCAACUAGUUGUUGGGGAUUCAUUUCCUUAGUAACGUAGCUAACGCGUGAAGUUGACCGCCUGGGGAGUACGGCCGCAAGGUUAAAACUCAAAGGAAUUGACGG
Molecule: ribosomal RNA, 585 nt
Filed under: uncultured beta proteobacterium
Lineage: Bacteria; Pseudomonadati; Pseudomonadota; Betaproteobacteria
Description: bacterial SSU rRNA
Rfam family: Bacterial small subunit ribosomal RNA
Source: RNAcentral